GGGUUGUGAGGUUAAGCGACUAAGCGUACACGGUGGAUGCCCUGGCAGUCAGAGGCGAUGAAGGACGUGCUAAUCUGCGAAAAGCGUCGGUAAGGUGAUAUGAACCGUUACAGCCGGCGAUGUCCGAAUGGGGAAACCCAGUGCAAUUCGUUGCACUAUCGUUAACUGAAUACAUAGGUUAACGAGGCGAACCGGGGGAACUGAAACAUCUAAGUACCCCGAGGAAAAGAAAUCAACCGAGAUUCCCCCAGUAGCGGCGAGCGAACGGGGAGCAGCCCAGAGUCUGAAUCAGUUUGUGUGUUAGUGGAACGGUCUGGAAAGUCCGACGGUACAGGGUGAUAGUCCCGUACACCAAAAUGCACAGGCUGUGAACUCGAAGAGUAGGGCGGGACACGUGGUAUCCUGUCUGAAUAUGGGGGGACCAUCCUCCAAGGCUAAAUACUCCUGACUGACCGAUAGUGAACCAGUACCGUGAGGGAAAGGCGAAAAGAACCCCGGCGAGGGGAGUGAAAAAGAACCUGAAACCGUGUACGUACAAGCAGUGGGAGCACCUUUAUGGUGUGACUGCGUACCUUUUGUAUAAUGGGUCAGCGACUUAUAUUCUGUAGCAAGGUUAACCGUAUAGGGGAGCCGCAGGGAAACCGAGUCUUAACUGGGCGUUAAGUUGCAGGGUAUAGACCCGAAACCCGGUGAUCUAGCCAUGGGCAGGUUGAAGGUUGGGUAACACUAACUGGAGGACCGAACCGACUAAUGUUGAAAAAUUAGCGGAUGACUUGUGGCUGGGGGUGAAAGGCCAAUCAAACCGGGAGAUAGCUGGUUCUCCCCGAAAGCUAUUUAGGUAGCGCCUCGUGAAUUCAUCUUCGGGGGUAGAGCACUGUUUCGGCUAGGGGGUCAUCCCGACUUACCAACCCGAUGCAAACUACGAAUACCGAAGAAUGUUAUCACGGGAGACACACGGCGGGUGCUAACGUCCGUCGUGAAGAGGGAAACAACCCAGACCGCCAGCUAAGGUCCCAAAGUCACAGUUAAGUGGGAAACGAUGUGGGAAGGCACAGACAGCCAGGAUGUUGGCUUAGAAGCAGCCAUCAUUUAAAGAAAGCGUAAUAGCUCACUGGUCGAGUCGGCCUGCGCGGAAGAUGUAACGGGGCUAAACUGUGCACCGAAGCUGCGGCAGCGACACUAUGUGUUGUUGGGUAGGGGAGCGUUCUGUAAGCCUGCGAAGGUGGCCUGUGAGGGUUGCUGGAGGUAUCAGAAGUGCGAAUGCUGACAUAAGUAACGAUAAUGCGGGUGAAAAGCCCGCACGCCGGAAGACCAAGGGUUCCUGUCCAACGUUAAUCGGGGCAGGGUGAGUCGACCCCUAAGGCGAGGCCGAAAGGCGUAGUCGAUGGGAAACAGGUUAAUAUUCCUGUACUUGGUGUUACUGCGAAGGGGGGACGGAGAAGGCUAUGUUAGCCGGGCGACGGUUGUCCCGGUUUAAGCAUGUAGGCGGAGGUUCCAGGUAAAUCCGGUACCUUUUAACGCUGAGGUGUGAUGACGAGGCACUACGGUGCUGAAGUAACAAAUGCCCUGCUUCCAGGAAAAGCCUCUAAGCAUCAGGUAACAUUAAAUCGUACCCCAAACCGACACAGGUGGUCAGGUAGAGAAUACCAAGGCGCUUGAGAGAACUCGGGUGAAGGAACUAGGCAAAAUGGUGCCGUAACUUCGGGAGAAGGCACGCUGAUAUGUAGGUGAAGCCCCUGCGGGUGGAGCUGAAAUCAGUCGAAGAUACCAGCUGGCUGCAACUGUUUAUUAAAAACACAGCACUGUGCAAACACGAAAGUGGACGUAUACGGUGUGACGCCUGCCCGGUGCCGGAAGGUUAAUUGAUGGGGUUAUCCGUAAGGAGAAGCUCUUGAUCGAAGCCCCGGUAAACGGCGGCCGUAACUAUAACGGUCCUAAGGUAGCGAAAUUCCUUGUCGGGUAAGUUCCGACCUGCACGAAUGGCGUAAUGAUGGCCAGGCUGUCUCCACCCGAGACUCAGUGAAAUUGAACUCGCUGUGAAGAUGCAGUGUACCCGCGGCAAGACGGAAAGACCCCGUGAACCUUUACUAUAGCUUGACACUGAACAUUGAGCCUUGAUGUGUAGGAUAGGUGGGAGGCUUUGAAGCGUGGACGCCAGUCUGCGUGGAGCCAACCUUGAAAUACCACCCUUUAAUGUUUGAUGUUCUAACGUUGGCCCCUUAUCGGGGUUGCGGACAGUGUCUGGUGGGUAGUUUGACUGGGGCGGUCUCCUCCCAAAGAGUAACGGAGGAGCACGAAGGUUAGCUAAUCCUGGUCGGACAUCAGGAGGUUAGUGCAAUGGCAUAAGCUAGCUUGACUGCGAGCGUGACGGCGCGAGCAGGUGCGAAAGCAGGUCAUAGUGAUCCGGUGGUUCUGAAUGGAAGGGCCAUCGCUCAACGGAUAAAAGGUACUCCGGGGAUAACAGGCUGAUACCGCCCAAGAGUUCAUAUCGACGGCGGUGUUUGGCACCUCGAUGUCGGCUCAUCACAUCCUGGGGCUGAAGUAGGUCCCAAGGGUAUGGCUGUUCGCCAUUUAAAGUGGUACGCGAGCUGGGUUUAGAACGUCGUGAGACAGUUCGGUCCCUAUCUGCCGUGGGCGCUGGAGAAUUGAGGGGGGCUGCUCCUAGUACGAGAGGACCGGAGUGGACGCAUCACUGGUGUUCGGGUUGUCAUGCCAAUGGCAUUGCCCGGUAGCUAAAUGCGGAAGAGAUAAGUGCUGAAAGCAUCUAAGCACGAAACUUGCCCCGAGAUGAGUUCUCCCUGAGACUUAAAGUCUCCUGAAGGAACGUUAAAGACGAUGACGUUGAUAGGUCGGGUGUGUAAGCGUAGCGAUACGUUGAGCUAACCGAUACUAAUGAACCGUGAGGCUUAACCUUACAACGCCGAAGGUGUUU
RNAcentral lists this ribosomal RNA (2932 nucleotides) under Klebsiella aerogenes. Its description in RNAcentral is "bacterial LSU rRNA". It matches the Rfam family "Bacterial large subunit ribosomal RNA". The record is from RNAcentral. Lineage: Bacteria; Pseudomonadati; Pseudomonadota; Gammaproteobacteria; Enterobacterales; Enterobacteriaceae.